Molecule: small RNA, 115 nt
Filed under: Salmonella enterica subsp. enterica serovar Thompson
Lineage: Bacteria; Pseudomonadati; Pseudomonadota; Gammaproteobacteria; Enterobacterales; Enterobacteriaceae
Also listed under: 4 other names
Description: partial RtT sRNA
Rfam family: RtT RNA
About the family: This family represents a bacterial cis-regulatory element known as RtT RNA.
Source: RNAcentral
AAGGAUGAGAAGCUUCGACUAAGGUUCGAUUCGAGCGAAAGCGAGAAAGCGUUGCCGCAGGCAACGACCCGAAGGGCGAAACGCGCAGCGCUGAGUCAUCCUUCCCCCACCACCA